UGCUUAGCGGCGGACGGGUGAGUAACACGUAGGCAACCUGCCUGCAAGGCCGGGAUAACAUUCGGAAACGAAUGCUAAUACCGGAUACGCGGUUUUGUCGCAUGACGAGACCGGGAAAGACGGCGCAAGCUGUCACUUGCAGAUGGGCCUGCGGCGCAUUAGCUGGUUGGCGGGGUAACGGCCCACCAAGGCGACGAUGCGUAGCCGACCUGAGAGGGUGAUCGGCCACACUGGGACUGAGACACGGCCCAGACUCCUACGGGAGGCAGCAGUAGGGAAUCUUCCGCAAUGGACGAAAGUCUGACGGAGCAACGCCGCGUGAGUGAGGAAGGCCUUCGGGUCGUAAAGCUCUGUUGCCAGGGAAGAACGUCGGGGGGAGUAACUGCCCUUCGAAUGACGGUACCUGAGAAGAAAGCCCCGGCUAACUACGUGCCAGCAGCCGCGGUAAUACGUAGGGGGCAAGCGUUGUCCGGAAUUAUUGGGCGUAAAGCGCGCGCAGGCGGCCUUGUAAGUCUGGUGUUUAACCCAUGGGCUCAACCCAUGGUCGCACCGGAAACUGCAAAGCUUGAGUGCAGAAGAGGAAAGUGGAAUUCCACGUGUAGCGGUGAAAUGCGUAGAGAUGUGGAGGAACACCAGUGGCGAAGGCGACUUUCUGGGCUGUAACUGACGCUGAGGCGCGAAAGCGUGGGGAGCAAACAGGAUUAGAUACCCUGGUAGUCCACGCCGUAAACGAUGAGUGCUAGGUGUCA
RNAcentral lists this ribosomal RNA (749 nucleotides) under Paenibacillus sp. RNAcentral's name for it is "bacterial SSU rRNA". It matches the Rfam family "Bacterial small subunit ribosomal RNA", at positions 89 to 825 of the family's 1533-position model. Lineage: Bacteria; Bacillati; Bacillota; Bacilli; Caryophanales; Paenibacillaceae. The record is from RNAcentral.